Molecule: ribosomal RNA, 404 nt
Filed under: Actinomycetes bacterium
Lineage: Bacteria; Bacillati; Actinomycetota; Actinomycetes
Description: Actinobacteria bacterium partial 16S ribosomal RNA
Rfam family: Bacterial small subunit ribosomal RNA
Source: RNAcentral
UGGGGAAUAUUGGACAAUGGGCGCAAGCCUGAUCCCGCCAUGCCGCGUGAGUGAUGAAGGCCCUAGGGUUGUAAAGCUCUUUCACCGGUGAAGAUAAUGACGGUAACCGGAGAAGAAGCCCCGGCUAACUCCGUGCCAGCAGCCGCGGUAAUACGAAGGGGGCUAGCGUUGUUCGGAUUUACUGGGCGUAAAGCGCACGUAGGCGGACUAUUAAGUCAGGGGUGAAAUCCCGGGGCUCAACCCCGGAACUGCCUUUGAUACUGGUAGUCUUGAGUUCGAGGGAGGUGAGUGGAAUUCCGAGUGUAGAGGGGAAAUUCGUAGAUAUUCGGAGGAACACCAGUGGCGAAGGGGGCUCACUGGCUCGAUACUGACGCUGAGGUGCGAAAGCGUGGGGAGCAAACAGG